UACGUAGGGGGCUAGCGUUGUCCGGAAUCAUUGGGCGUAAAGCGCGUGUAGGCGGUCCGGUAAGUCCGCUGUGAAAGUCGGGGGCUCAACCCUCGGAUGCCGGUGGAUACUGUCGGGCUUGAGUACGGAAGAGGCGAGUGGAAUUCCUGGUGUAGCGGUGAAAUGCGCAGAUAUCAGGAGGAACACCAAUUGCGAAGGCAGCUCGCUGGGACGUUACUGACGCUGAGACGCGAAAGCGUGGGGAGCGAUCCGG
Molecule: ribosomal RNA, 253 nt
Filed under: uncultured bacterium
Lineage: Bacteria
Description: partial 16S ribosomal RNA
Rfam family: Bacterial small subunit ribosomal RNA
Source: RNAcentral